AGCUGACCAGAGACUAGAUAUUUCUUGCUCUCCAUGCACUGACUCAGAGAAGCAACCAAUAACAGCAGAAGUGACCCUUUGGGAAAUGGCACCAGGUGUCCCAGGCUGGUGCUUAAAGUGGGAAUAUUAAGGCGAUUUGCCACGAGAAGGACAUGGCCUGGUGGCUACUGCACCUUCAGCUUCCGCACACAUAAAUACAUAUGGAACACACCGGACCUAGUCUCCAGCCUGGAGCCAUGCCUACAGCAUGGCUGAAGCAUGAAGCAGGGCUAACUGGCCACAUUCAACCUCCAUCAGCUGAAGCACAAUACACCUGCAAACCUAUGAGUCUGAGAAUAAAGGCUUGUUAUUGAAAGCCACUAAGAUUUGGGGUGGUUUGUUAUCCAACAUUCUGAUGGCAACAGCAGUAAUAGAUC
RNAcentral lists this long non-coding RNA (416 nucleotides) under Homo sapiens (human). RNAcentral describes it as "HSALNT0298411". Lineage: Eukaryota; Metazoa; Chordata; Mammalia; Primates; Hominidae. The record is from RNAcentral.